Molecule: ribosomal RNA, 114 nt
Filed under: Lepisosteus oculatus (spotted gar)
Lineage: Eukaryota; Metazoa; Chordata; Actinopteri; Semionotiformes; Lepisosteidae
Source: RNAcentral
GGCAGCAGCUAUAUCACUCUGCAACUCUAGCAGCCCACUGAAGCUAAGCAGGUGUGAGCCUGGUCAGUACCUGGAUGGGAGACCUCCUGAGGAAAACUAAGGUUGUUGCUGGAA